GUUAAGCGACUAAGCGUACACGGUGGAUGCCCUGGCAGUCAGAGGCGAUGAAGGACGUGCUAAUCUGCGAUAAGCGUCGGUAAGGUGAUAUGAACCGUUAUAACCGGCGAUUUCCGAAUGGGGAAACCCAGUGUGUUUCGACACACUAUCAUUAACUGAAUCCAUAGGUUAAUGAGGCGAACCGGGGGAACUGAAACAUCUAAGUACCCCGAGGAAAAGAAAUCAACCGAGAUUCCCCCAGUAGCGGCGAGCGAACGGGGAGGAGCCCAGAGCCUGAAUCAGUGUGUGUGUUAGUGGAAGCGUCUGGAAAGGCGCGCGAUACAGGGUGACAGCCCCGUACACAAAAAUGCACAUACUGUGAGCUCGAUGAGUAGGGCGGGACACGUGGUAUCCUGUCUGAAUAUGGGGGGACCAUCCUCCAAGGCUAAAUACUCCUGACUGACCGAUAGUGAACCAGUACCGUGAGGGAAAGGCGAAAAGAACCCCGGCGAGGGGAGUGAAAAAGAACCUGAAACCGUGUACGU
This 524-nucleotide ribosomal RNA is filed under the name Escherichia coli. Its description in RNAcentral is "partial 23S ribosomal RNA". It matches the Rfam family "Bacterial large subunit ribosomal RNA", at positions 1 to 565 of the family's 2925-position model. Lineage: Bacteria; Pseudomonadati; Pseudomonadota; Gammaproteobacteria; Enterobacterales; Enterobacteriaceae. The record is from RNAcentral.